Long non-coding RNA from Cryptomeria japonica (Japanese cedar), 1090 nucleotides. RefSeq lists it as uncharacterized. Lineage: Eukaryota; Viridiplantae; Streptophyta; Pinopsida; Cupressales; Cupressaceae. The record is from RefSeq and is a predicted model, not a curated record. The transcript is spliced from 3 exons.
ACAACGAUGAAGGGAAUUUCUGAAAAAAGCAUACCGUUGUUCUAUAUGGCCGUUCUAUAUUACCGCUUCACAUGGCUAUCCAUUACCUGUUAAAAAUAACAUGGCUAUCUAUUUUACCGUUUUAAAAAGCAUGCCCGUUUGUUCUAUAUUACCGUUUCACAUGGCUAUUCAUUACCUGUGAAAAAAAAACAUGGCUAUCUAUUUUACCGUUUUAAAAAGCAUGCCUGUUGCCGAAUGUUACUGUUAUAAAUGGCAGGGCACUGUUCAUGUGGAUUAGCGAGGGCUUGUGUUCUUCCUCUUCUGUCAAUAACAGAGGAAGAGGGAAGGAAAAGGCAAAGGCAGAACAGUUGAAGAGGGAAGGCAAGCUGGUUUCAAAACCAGAGGUAUCUGUAUUUUGGGUUGAAUGACAAAACCACGGGGAUAUCCUCGUCCGCUUGAAAUUGAAGACUCUGCGCUUAGUCAGUUUUAGAUGUUGAGUGUUUGAAAGACUGAGCCAGUAUUCAGAAAUGUUUGGAAGCUCCAAUAGGCUAGCUGCUGAAGUCGAGUAAUGAAUGCAAUUUACAAAAUUUUAGGAAAAUGUUUCAAAUUUUGAAUGGGUUAACUAAAUGCAAGAUUUAAUAUCGAAAAUUGGAGAAAUAUUGUAUAUUUUAAUCAAUUGUUAAAAUUGGUGUAAAUGCAAUUUGUAAAUUGAGGCAAUUUUACUGGAUAAUGCAAUAUCUAAAACUGGAGAAGAUAUUACAUUUUUGAAUCAGUUGCUGAAAUUGGUGACAUCAAUGUAAUAUAUAAUUGAAACAAUGCUUAUUUAGUAAAUUGAUAUGUAAACUGAUUUAUUAUUUAAUACCAUUAUUUUUAUUUGGAAGGGGUUGAAUUUGCCCCCUUCCUAAGGCUGCAAAGAAUGGUCAUUGGCGAUGGCCAUUCUUUUAGGCCAAUGACCAUUCUUUUAUACUAUGUUUGCUUUAAACUUAACUUUUUUUUCAUUUUUUGUUUUCAUUUCAUUAUCUAUAAUGACUUACAUUUGUGGUGCAAUGUAAUUAUUAAGUACCAUAACAUUCUUUAAUUAUAACAAAGCUUUGUAAUAUUGUAAUAAUUA